RNAcentral lists this ribozyme (115 nucleotides) under Aedes aegypti (yellow fever mosquito). RNAcentral's name for it is "drz-agam-1 ribozyme". It matches the Rfam family "drz-agam-1 ribozyme". The record is from Rfam by way of RNAcentral. Lineage: Eukaryota; Metazoa; Arthropoda; Insecta; Diptera; Culicidae.
UGUCCAGUAACUCCUAUCCCUACCUCGCCGUGGUGCCGCCUGGGGUACGACUAACCGUAGCGAAGAUCGGGUAACCAACCCUUGUGGGAUCUUGGUCGUAUGCUGACAGGGAAGG